AGGAUUCCCCUAGUAACUGCGAGUGAAGCGGGAAAAGCUCAAAUUUAAAAUCUGGCGGUCUUUGGCCGUCCGAGUUGUAAUCUAGAGAAGUAAUGCCCGUGCUGGACCGUGUAUAAGUCUCCUGGGAUGGGGCGUCAUAGAGGGUGAGAAUCCCGUCUUUGACACGGACUACCAGUGCAUUGUGGUAUGCUCUCAAAGAGUCGAGUUGUUUGGGAAUGCAGCUCAAAAUGGGUGGUAAAUUCCAUCUAAAGCUAAAUAUUGGCGAGAGACCGAUAGCGAACAAGUACCGUGAGGGAAAGAUGAAAAGAACUUUGGAAAGAGAGUUAAACAGUACGUGAAAUUGCUGAAAGGGAAACGCUUGAAGUCAGUCGCGUUGGCCGGGAAUCAGCCUUGCUUUUUGCAUGGUGUACUUUCUGGUUGACGGGUCAGCAUCAAUUUUGAUCACUGGAAAAGGCUCAGGGGAAUGUGGCAGCUYCGGCUGUGUUAUAGCCCUUGUUCACAUACAGUGGUUGGGAUUGAGGAACUCAGCACGCCGCAAGGCCGGGUUUCGACCACGUUCGUGCUUAGGAUGCUGGCAUAAUGGCUUUAAGCGACCCGUCUUGAAACACGGACCAAGGAGUCUAACAUGCCUGCGAGUAUUUGGGUGGAAAACCCAGGUGCGCAAUGAAAGUGAAAGUUGAGAUCCCUGUCGUGGGGAGCAUCGACGCCCGGACCAGAACUUUUGGGACGGAUCCGCGGUGGAGCAUGUAUGUUGGGACCCGAAAGAUGGUGAACUAUGCCUGAAUAGGGUGAAGCCAGAGGAAACUCUGGUGGAGGCUCGUAGCGAUUCUGACGUGCAAAUCGAUCGUCAAAUUUGGGUAUAGGGGCGAAA
This 871-nucleotide ribosomal RNA is filed under the name Agaricus brunneopileatus. RNAcentral's name for it is "eukaryotic LSU rRNA". It matches the Rfam family "Eukaryotic large subunit ribosomal RNA", at positions 71 to 928 of the family's 3401-position model. Lineage: Eukaryota; Fungi; Basidiomycota; Agaricomycetes; Agaricales; Agaricaceae. The record is from RNAcentral.